Tribolium castaneum (red flour beetle) is the source of this 363-nucleotide long non-coding RNA. RefSeq lists it as uncharacterized. The record is from RefSeq and is a predicted model, not a curated record. The transcript is spliced from 2 exons. Lineage: Eukaryota; Metazoa; Arthropoda; Insecta; Coleoptera; Tenebrionidae.
AUAACGCGGGACAAUAGCCGCAUACGCGCUUAAUUAAGUGUCAAGAACGCAUGUUUUAAUAUUUUAGCAAGUAAAGAAGCCGGUUUUUGUUUCAACUUUUGCAAGACAGGGAACCGAACAAACUCGAAAUGAGAUGAAUUAAGUUUGCAUAGAAGCAGAGUCUCUAGUCAGCAGAGCGACCGUUACAUUUAAAUUUGUGAUAAUGUCUACGAGGCUUCAACUACUUCAAGCUCACCCCUUCUGUUUAAUGACCGGCAUAAACCUGAUUUCGUGUACAAUUACAACGUUACGGGCGGCAUUUUUCCACUUGUUUAAUUUUUUUAGUGAUUUUGAAUUCAGCUGAAUAAAACACAAGUAGAAAAA